RNAcentral lists this ribosomal RNA (914 nucleotides) under uncultured bacterium. RNAcentral's name for it is "bacterial SSU rRNA". It matches the Rfam family "Bacterial small subunit ribosomal RNA", at positions 56 to 985 of the family's 1533-position model. The record is from RNAcentral.
UGCAAGUCGAACGGUAACGACACUAGCUUGCUAGUGGGCGACGAGUGGCGGACGGGUGAGUAACGCGUAGGAAUCUACCUAGUAGUGGGGGAUAGCCAAGGGAAACUUUGGGUAAUACCGCAUACGAUCUAAGGAUGAAAGGGGGCCUCUCUUUGAAGCUCUCGCUAUUAGAUGAGCCUGCGUAAGAUUAGCUUGUUGGUGAGGUAAUGGCUCACCAAGGCGACGAUCUUUAGCUGGUCUGAGAGGAUGAUCAGUCACACUGGAACUGAGACACGGUCCAGACUCCUACGGGAGGCAGCAGUGGGGAAUAUUGCACAAUGGGGGAAACCCUGAUGCAGCAACGCCGCGUGGAGGAUGACACAUUUCGGUGCGUAAACUCCUUUUAUAUAGGAAGAUAAUGACGGUACUAUAUGAAUAAGCGCCGGCUAACUCCGUGCCAGCAGCCGCGGUAAUACGGAGGGCGCAAGCGUUACUCGGAAUCACUGGGCGUAAAGAGCGUGUAGGCGGGUUAAUAAGUUUGAAGUGAAAUCCUAUGGCUCAACCAUAGAACUGCUUUGAAAACUGUUAACCUAGAAUAUGGGAGAGGUAGAUGGAAUUUCUGGUGUAGGGGUAAAAUCCGUAGAGAUCAGAAGGAAUACCGAUUGCGAAGGCGAUCUACUGGAACAUUAUUGACGCUGAGACGCGAAAGCGUGGGGAGCAAACAGGAUUAGAUACCCUGGUAGUCCACGCCCUAAACGAUGUACACUAGUUGUUGUGAGGCUAGACCUUGCAGUAAUGCAGUUAACACAUUAAGUGUACCGCCUGGGGAGUACGGUCGCAAGAUUAAAACUCAAAGGAAUAGACGGGGACCCGCACAAGCGGUGGAGCAUGUGGUUUAAUUCGACGAUACGCGAAGAACCUUACCUGGACUUGAC